Nematostella vectensis (starlet sea anemone) is the source of this 45-nucleotide non-coding RNA. NCBI's taxonomy places the organism in Eukaryota, Metazoa, Cnidaria, Anthozoa, Actiniaria, Edwardsiidae. The record is from Rfam.
AAAACGGCUCUUUUAGGAGCCACCACAUGUAAUAAAGUCUCUAAU